GAUGAACGCUGGCUGUGUGCCUAAUACAUGCAUGUCGAGCGAAGCACUUUUGUGCUCAGCGGCGAAUGGGUGAGUAACACGUACUUAACCUACCCUCAAGAUUGGGACAACACUUGGAAACGAGUGCUAAUACCAAAUACGUAUUUUUAUCGCAUGAUAGAUAUAUAAAAGGAGCUUCGGCUUCACUAGAGGAUGGGAGUGCGCUACAUUAGUUAGUUGGUAGGGUAAUGGCCUACCAAGACUAUGAUGUAUAGCGGGGCCGAGAGGCUGAUCCGCCACACUGGGACUGAGAUACGGCCCAGACUCCUACGGGAGGCAGCAGUAGGGAAUUUUCCACAAUGAACGAAAGUUUGAUGGAGCGACACAGCGUGCAGGAUGAAGGUCUUCGGAUUGUAAACUGCUGUUAUAAGAGAAGAAAAACCCUGGUAGGUAAUGACCAGGACUUGACGGUACCUUAUCAGAAAGCGACGGCUAACUAUGUGCCAGCAGCCGCGGUAAUACAUAGGUCGCAAGCGUUAUCCGGAAUUAUUGGGCGUAAAGAGUUCGUAGGUGGUUUUGUAAGUCUGAAGUUAAAUACCGGGGCUCAACCCCGGCCCGCUUUGGAUACUGCAAAACUAGAGUAAUAGAGAGGUUAGUGGAACUCCAAGUGAAGCGGUGGAAUGCGUAGAUAUUUGGAAGAACACCAAUGGCGAAGGCAACUAACUGGAUAUUAACUGACACUGAGGAACGAAAGCGUGGGUAGCAAACAGG
Molecule: ribosomal RNA, 750 nt
Filed under: uncultured bacterium
Lineage: Bacteria
Description: bacterial SSU rRNA
Rfam family: Bacterial small subunit ribosomal RNA
Source: RNAcentral